AACCUUGAAACUUACUUACCUGGACGGGGUCUAUGGCUGAUCAAGAAGAGUCAUAGCCCAGGCUAGUGGCCUACAUUGCAUUUUGUGGGCGCGCUGGCCUACCAUCUCCCCUUUAAGAGAGAGUGGACCUCAUGA
Molecule: ribosomal RNA, 135 nt
Filed under: Triticum aestivum (bread wheat)
Lineage: Eukaryota; Viridiplantae; Streptophyta; Magnoliopsida; Poales; Poaceae
Description: partial small subunit ribosomal RNA
Source: RNAcentral